GAUGAACGCUGGCGGCGUGCCUAAUACAUGCAAGUCGAGCGAACGGACGAGAAGCUUGCUUCUCUGAUGUUAGCGGCGGACGGGUGAGUAACACGUGGAUAACCUACCUAUAAGACUGGGAUAACUUCGGGAAACCGGAGCUAAUACCGGAUAAUAUUUUGAACCGCAUGGUUCAGAAGUGAAAGACGGUCUUGCUGUCACUUAUAGAUGGAUCCGCGCUGCAUUAGCUAGUUGGUAAGGUAACGGCUUACCAAGGCAACGAUGCAUAGCCGACCUGAGAGGGUGAUCGGCCACACUGGAACUGAGACACGGUCCAGACUCCUACGGGAGGCAGCAGUAGGGAAUCUUCCGCAAUGGGCGAAAGCCUGACGGAGCAACGCCGCGUGAGUGAUGAAGGUCUUCGGAUCGUAAAACUCUGUUAUUAGGGAAGAACAUAUGUGUAAGUAACUGUGCACAUCUUGACGGUACCUAAUCAGAAAGCCACGGCUAACUACGU
Molecule: ribosomal RNA, 496 nt
Filed under: uncultured bacterium
Lineage: Bacteria
Description: partial 16S ribosomal RNA
Rfam family: Bacterial small subunit ribosomal RNA
Source: RNAcentral